AAUGUGCGCUGGAGAAACGGAAAUGGAGGUGUGAGACCUAGACCCGGAAAACCCACGUGAUCAUGCGGAAGGCUCGACCGAGGAGGGGAAGUCAGGACCUAAGGCGAGGCUGAAAAGCGUAGUCGAUGGACAACGGGUUAAUAUUCCCGUACCAUUAUUUAUUGAUAACGAGGGACGGAGAAGGCUAAGCUGGCCGGAUAUUGGUUACCGGUUUAAACGUUCGAGGUGUUGAGAAACGGAGAAAACGUUUUGAGCUGAGGCGUGAGUACGAGAUGCUACGGCAUUGAAGCAGUGUAUGUCAGACUUCCAAGAAAAGCUCGCAAUGUCAUAAAUAAAUAAUGCCUGUACCAUAACCGACACAGGUGGGUAGGUAGAGUAUACUAAGGGGCGCGAGAUAACUCUCUCUAAGGAACUCGGCAAAAUAACUCCGUAACUUCGGGAGAAGGAGUGCCUUAUUUAUAAGGCUGCAAUAACAAGAUCCAAGCAACUGUUUAUCAAAAACACAGGUCUCCGCUAAGUCGUAAGACGAUGUAUGGGGGCUGACGCCUGCCCAGUGCCAGAAGGUUAAAGAAGUUGGUUAGCAUUAGCGAAGCUGAUAACUGAAGCCCUGGUGAACGGCGGCCGUAACUAUAACGGUCCUAAGGUAGCGAAAUUCCUUGUCGGGUAAGUUCCGACCCGCACGAAAGGCGUAAUGAUUUGGAUACUGUCUCGGAGAGGGGCUCGGUGAAAUAGACUUGUCUGUGAAGAUGCGGACUACCUGCACCUGGACAGAAAGACCCUAUGAAGCUUUACUGUAACUUGAAAUUGAAAUUGGACUUUAUUUGCGCAGUAUAGGUGGGAGGCUUUGAGUUUAUUCUUGCGGGAAUUUAGGAGCCAUCAGUGAGAUACCACUCUUGUAAUGUUAGAUUUCUAACUUUGUAUCAUUAUCUGGUCAAAGAACAGUUUCAGGCGGGCAGUUUGACUGGGGCGGUCGCCUCCCAAAUGGUAACGGAGGCGUACAAAGGUUUCCUCUGAACGGGUAGAAAUCGUAUCUAGAGUGUAAAGGCAUAAGGAAGCUUGACUGUGAGACCUACAAGUCGAACAGGGACGAAAGUCGGUCUUAGUGAUCUGACGGUACUGAGUGGAAAGGCCGUCACUCAACGGAUAAAAGUUACUCUAGGGAUAACAGGCUGAUCUCCCCCAAGAGUUCACAUCGACGGGGAGGUUUGGCACCUCGAUGUCGGCUCAUCGCAUCCUGGGGCGGUAGUACGUCCCAAGGGUUGGGCUGUUCGCCCAUGAAAGCGGUACGCGAGCUGGGUUCAGAACGUCGUGAGACAGUUCGGUCCAUAUCCGGUGUAGGCGUUAGAAUAUUGAGAGGAGCCUUCUUUAGUACGAGAGGACCGAGAAGGACAUACCUAUGGUGUACCAGUUAUCGUGCCAACGGUAAACGCUGGGUAGCUAAGUAUGGAGUGGAUAACCGCUGAAAGCAUCUAAGUGGGAAGCCCACCUCGAGAUGAGUAUUCUCAUCACGAAAGUGAGUAAGGUCACGGUAAGACUAACCGUUUAAUAGGCAUUAAGUGUAAGUACAGUAAUGUAUGUGCUGAGAUGUCCUAACAGACCGAGGACUUGAAUUU
Molecule: ribosomal RNA, 1613 nt
Filed under: marine metagenome
Description: bacterial LSU rRNA
Rfam family: Bacterial large subunit ribosomal RNA
Source: RNAcentral